GCAGUGCAGGACGCACUCAUCAGGAUGAUGCGCUCAGGAAUGUUGGGAUAACGAAGAGCGGCUGGAAUGGAAAUGGCUAUGGAUGGGAGCCGGAAAAGGAAAGGGAUACGCUCAGGAGUUGAGCAGGCGCAGGAUUAACCGGGACGUUGUGAGCCGAAACGGAUUUGAAACAUGAUUCCUUCUGCUGAAGGUAUGAAAUAAGGCGACAGCUUGAGCUGUCGCCUUUUUUCUUUGUCUGGUU
Molecule: small RNA, 241 nt
Filed under: Pantoea ananatis
Lineage: Bacteria; Pseudomonadati; Pseudomonadota; Gammaproteobacteria; Enterobacterales; Erwiniaceae
Source: RNAcentral